UACGAAGGGGGCUAGCGUUGCUCGGAAUCACUGGGCGUAAAGCGCACGUAGGCGGCUUUCUAAGUCAGGGGUGAAAUCCUGGAGCUCAACUCCAGAACUGCCUUUGAUACUGGAGAGCUUGAGUCCGGAAGAGGUGAGUGGAACUCCGAGUGUAGAGGUGAAAUUCGCAGAUAUCAGGAGGAACACCGAUGGCGAAGGCAGCUCGCUGGGACGGUACUGACGCUGAGGCGCGAAAGCGUGGGGAGCAAACAGG
This 253-nucleotide ribosomal RNA is filed under the name uncultured bacterium. Its description in RNAcentral is "partial 16S ribosomal RNA". It matches the Rfam family "Bacterial small subunit ribosomal RNA", at positions 524 to 776 of the family's 1533-position model. The record is from RNAcentral.